RNA transcript from Cygnus olor (mute swan), 5050 nucleotides. It is a transcript of the gene named single-pass membrane protein with coiled-coil domains 4, with no coding region annotated. The transcript has 8 exons. NCBI's taxonomy places the organism in Eukaryota, Metazoa, Chordata, Aves, Anseriformes, Anatidae. The record is from RefSeq and is a predicted model, not a curated record.
GGGCGAAGCUGGGGGGGCAGCGGGACCCUCGGCGGGCGGCAGAGGGCGCCCCGAAUUCCGUCAGAGAGGGGCCGGGAGGAGCCUCCGGCUCGGCUCGGCCGAGGAGGGAGGGAGGGGAGGAGGAGGAGGAGGAGGAGGCAGAGGAGGGAGCUGCCACGUCCUCUGCGCCGAGCGGCGCCAGCCCCCGCGCCUCACUCAGCCCCACGUGUGGCGGAGCGGGGAAGUUGCGGCGGGGAGCCCGGACUCUGCCCCUCUCUGGCCGCCCGUCCCUGCUCUCGGGAGGGCGCAGCUCCGACUGUAGAACUGCCUUCCUGAGUGGGAGAAUCAGAGAGUGAGACCUUUCUGUUCUGUGUCCAGAGUAAAACGCAGAAGCCAGCAGUAGCAGUUGGAGUGAGAACCCAUUUGACUUUUUGGACCCUUGCCCUUGUUAAUAACAACAGGAUGGGUUAUCGCUAUUGAAAGCGGUGUGAUUGUUUUUUUUGUUUUGUUUUAAAGAAAGGUAUUAAAUUUAUUGCGUGUUAAAGGGGGAGCAGGGGUUGUUUCAAACACCCAAAGAAACCUGUAGGAAUAAAUCUUUGCAGGAAAUUUAGUAACGGGCUGAAAUAUUCAAGUCGGUCUGUAUUUAUUAACAUGAAGUUCCUCCCGGGCUAAUUAUCCCCCUCCCAACACCGACAGCAUGUAGCUCUACAGUGCCUUGCAGGCGGACCUCCACUUCUGUCUACGCUCCUAAAUAAUUAGAUAGGAGUUGGAUCUUGUCUGUAAGCCACCUAGCUUUGUUAUUUCAGUGCUCAAUUUAAAAAGCAGCGCUGAGAGACUGGCCUUUUUAGCUUAAGCACAACACCUCUUUAAUGAACUGCUGCAGCUUUUGAACUGGAGCUGGUUUGCAUCGGAUCUUCUCUGAACAGGAGUGAGGAAAUUUGGGACCAGACGUUCCUCAUGGCUGCACUCCGAAAUCAUGACAGAUAGCGUCACUGAAACAUGAAGAUUUCAAUUUUAGCACUGCAAGUAUUGUCUUCAGCUACUCGCCAGCUCCGCCUCGUAACUUCUGCCUGGAAGCAGUGGGCAUGGUGACCCAGAGCAUCUGAUAGCACAGGAGCCAAAGUUACCCGUAUCGCGAGUCAGGUUUGCAGAAGCGUGAGGUGCCUGGUGUUGGACAAAAAACGCAGGAGCAGUUUUGGCUUGUGACUGCAGGAGCUGGGUGUUAGCAGGUCUGAGUUCUUCUGCAAGUCCCACAGGGCACCCAGGUCGUCUGAAGGAAUGAAGGGAAGAUGCAAGGGUUUUCACUUUUCUCUUACACCUGUGAAAACCGAAGCACAAGAAAAACAAGUGGCGGAGCUGGACCUUGGCCUGGCUGGUCGGAGAGGCUGCGUGCAGACCCGAGGAGGAGAUCCAGAAGUGCAGUACUCAGCGGGCACCCGCGCAGCCGGAGUCGGCUCUGCCUUUCCUGGCGCCCGGGAGCAGCCAUGUGAGGAGCCAUGUGAGGAGCUUCUACCUGCAGAUCACUAAUGGCCAGGGUUAAUUUUACAACAAAAGGAGGCAGCGGAUUGCCAGAAAUUCAGUUUUUCAGGGUCAAGUUGUAGCACUGCAGUGUCAGAGAGAAGAGGCAGCCUCUGAAAUGGAUGUUCCAAACAGCUACACCCUGUCACUGCUUGCCAUUCAUAAAAGGAAGGUGAAGUUAAAGACAGGCUGUUGUGGACUGCAGAUGUUCCACUUCUACUGGACUCUGUUAAUCUUUUCUGUUGGUAUUCCUGCAAAUGUCCCAGCUGGAGGAGUCACUGACCAGCAAAAGCAGUAGCUGACCCAGUUUGGUGUUCAUUUCCAGCGUCGGAGGUGCUUGGGCUGGGUUGAGCAGUUCCUAGAAAUGGGAGGCAGCCUCAGGGGGAUGCAUACAGCGUGUGACAGCACUUGGAGUGGAAAGAAGACUCUCAGCUUCUGUUUGAGGAGAAAAGGCAAGUUUCCAGCUCUCCUGCAGAGUGAGUACGCUGGUCACUGAGCUUGGAAAUGAGUUUGCACAAGACUGGAGUACACCGAAGCCAUCGCUUUCUCAUCACCCUUCUGAGAGCAGCUUGAUCUGAGACACAGGCAGUGCUAACUAGAUUAUUAAUUACAGGCAUCCUGAUGCUAUAUUAUCUCCUUCCACUCCUUGUCCAAGUUUGGCCUUUCCAGUGGGCAAGCGGGACAAUUAGUGGCCAGUGAAGCCCAUGUGUGGCUAGUGAGAGGCCUGGAAGUGGAUAAGGACGGCUGUGACCCUUACUCUGCUUGCACAACACGGGCCACAAAAUUUUGUCUUAUGCAGCUGAACAUCAGUUUUUAAGCACUGCUCUGCACCAGCAGGAAUACACCUGCACGUACAUGUACAAUGUCCUGGACCUUUCCUGUGGGUGAAUUCUCCUGCAGAAACCACACAGGCUUCUAGAGGCAGCAGGAGCCUGGCAGCAGCUUGCAGAGCCUGGCUGAUUCAUUUCUGUGGUUUAGGUAGGAUGAACCCCGAGGCUCAUCUGGCUAAAAACUGUAGGCUGGUUUCUGCACAAGGCCAUCUCUGCUGGUAGCAAAGCCAAGUAGCCCGGUCUACUGGAAGCGUGUUUGAAGAUCGAUGCCAGAUUCCCAAACUGGAGAGCAUCAGCUUGCGACUCAAGUGGUGCUGACAUUUGCAGGAAGGCUUUAUGUUCCAAGCCAUCAGAUGCUAGCUAGUGUAUGUAAUUAACUUGGUAUCAUUUUGCUUCACAAUGAAAUAUUCAAAAGAGACUUGAUGUUUCUAAUGUCUGGGUAGCAAGUGAUGCUGUGUAGAGCAAGGCAUACGUUUAUUGUUUGAGAGCUUGGUUUCAUGGCAACUCCUGUUUGUUACUAUGUUACGCAGAAAGUCCCAAAGGAUUUCACUGUCCAUCACUUCUUAGGUCUUGUGAGUAAUCCAGACACAAAACCCACUGACGUGCACUAACAGUAGAAACAGAAAACAAUAUGAAAAUACGUGAAACGCAUCUCUAGUUAUCCCAGGGGAUAAACGUAAAGCUCUGUUUUGCAUAGUAGUUUCUCCAGAGUUCGGUAACAAAGCUUGUGACCAGAGUAGGAGGAAAAUGGAAACUGGAGGAGAAAAACAGAGAUUUGUUUUUCCCCAGAGGAAUCUAAGAAUAAGUUGGAAAAGUGAUUAACAAAACAACAACAACAACAAAAAAAAAACAGCCUCCCCCCAAAACACAGUUUGCAGAAGUUGCAAUACCAAAGACUUUCUCCUGAGUCAAUAAGAGAGAUGAGGAUUUGACGAAAGGAACAGGUAACGUUUAGAAAUCAGGUAGUCUUAUUUGAUUAAACAGACUGGAACAGGGUGUGGUGUAUUUGCUCCAUCCCUUUCCUAUUUGCCUCCUUGCUGUGAAGUUCACUGACCACUUCUGGUCUCUAAAUACGUUCUGCAUUUCAACUCUAGUGCUGCAGCUGGCGGAAGGAAGACUUUCUAAGACUUGAACUUUGUCUCCUCUUUUGAGAAUCACCCCAGCCACCCAAAUUUCCCUUUUAUGCUUUAUCAACACUGACGGGAACUGUUUGCCUCGGAGGCCAGGUUGAAUUUACGGAGUUUAAGAUCAGAAGAAGCUGGCAAGGUGUGCACAUGGGAUGCUGAAGGAGCAACCCCAGCUGCCCAUGGGUCCUUCACACUGGGCUUGUUCCUCUGGAUGGCACCCAGGGAGGACCUCGUACAGACAGACAGACAGACGUACAGACCUGCUGGUUUGCUGGUGGGUUCCCAACGCCACAGGAUCGUUCUGCUAGUCUGGUCGCUUCCGUGGCUUUGGGUUGGUGGAGUUGUUCCGCAUUGUACCCGAAUGAUGACCUGAUGAUGAAACAUCUCGCCAACCUAACCGACUGGAUGAGAUUCACAACAGGCAGCUUGCUGUUAGGAGAAGGGAUGAAAGAAAGGAUGAAAGCCCUUCUGCAGCUGCACCUAGCUGAUAGGCAGUCAUAAGACAACUUGUAAUGUUGACCAAGAUGAUGCAUCGAGAAGAAAUCGUGCCCGUGGUGAACUGCGAGCGCGUUGCAGCUUUGCUUGUUGCCGUGUGCUCACCACCUGCAGCAGCACGCUAACAUCGGGUUUAUAUUGCGAUAGAAAAAAAGAGAGAAAGGAAAGAGGCAGUUGCAGUCACCCACUAAUUUCUUCAAAAGUUUAAUUCCCGUUAGUUGCACAGCCAUCCGUUUGAAGGAGACGGAAUAUUUCAGCCCCUUGCCUCGAGAGACCUUGGCCCAUCUUCUGCAGCUCAACUCCCCUCACUCCUCCGCUUUGGCAACCAAAAGAUCCUCAGGGGAAAAUGAGGCAGCUAAGAGGAAAGCCCAAAAAAGAGACCUCCAAAGACAAAAAGGAGAGGAAACAGGCGAUGCAAGAGGCCCGGCAACAGAUCACCACCGUAGUGCUUCCCACGCUGGCCAUCGUAGUACUGCUGAUUGUGGUGUUUGUUUAUGUAGCAACUCGUCCAAAUACGACUGAAUGAUGCGGCGCUUCGGACUUUCUACCUUUGGGUUAUUAAUGCUUUUAUCAAGAGCCAAAAGAAACUCUCUGCCACUCCUGAUACUUUACAAAAGAACUUGCUGGUGUCUUCGGUCUUUUCUCUUGGUUAGGGUUCCACAGUUUCUCUUUAGGAAUGUAACAUAAAACGUAUUAGUGAAUGUGCCAGUACGUUUUAUGGUCCAGUUCAUGUGCCUUUCAGACUUUUAAAAUGGUGUUUUUCUGAAAUCUGUUUGAAGUUCUAUAUUGUAAAAGGAAAUUCUGUUCUGCUAUAAAUUUGUAAAAAAAUCAGCUUUCAGCUUUUAUCACUGUUAUGGAAAAUGUUGCUCCCAUGAGCUCCUGUCUGUCUAUUUCAGAACUUCCAAAGAAGUACAUUUCUUCUUUGUACUUAAUGUCAUAUGAAAUGCUUUGAUUCAGAAAGGAUAUAUUUAUUUUUUGAAUAAAAGAGAGAAGUCUUACUUGGAAUGUUAUUUUGCAAAAAAAAAAAUGUGGCUUAAUUGUGAAAGCCUAUACUGUGUAAUAAUUUUUUCAUUAAACACUAUAUAGUUCACUCAAAAAAAA